UACAGAGGUCUCAAGCGUUGUUCGGAAUCACUGGGCGUAAAGGGUGCGUAGGCCGCACGGUAAGUCAGAGGUGAAAUCCCGGAGCUCAACUUCGGAAUUGCCUCCGAUACUGCCGUGCUUGAGGACUGGAGAGGAGUCUGGAAUUCACAGUGGAGCAGUGAAAUGCGUAGAUAUCGUAAGGAAGACCAGUGGCGAAGGCGGGUCUCUGGACAGUUCCUGACGCUGAGGCACGAAGGUCAGGGGAGCAAACGGG
Molecule: ribosomal RNA, 253 nt
Filed under: uncultured bacterium
Lineage: Bacteria
Description: partial 16S ribosomal RNA
Rfam family: Bacterial small subunit ribosomal RNA
Source: RNAcentral